AAGCCCGCCUCGCCGGCGGCAAUAUGCGCGUUGCUCUCAUUGAUGCCGAGAUGGUGCUCCGUCUUCAGCUCGGUACUGACGCCGUGACGGGCAAA
RNAcentral lists this transfer RNA (95 nucleotides) under Klebsiella pneumoniae. RNAcentral describes it as "tRNA-Glu(ctc)". The record is from RNAcentral. Lineage: Bacteria; Pseudomonadati; Pseudomonadota; Gammaproteobacteria; Enterobacterales; Enterobacteriaceae.